GACGAACGCUGGCGGCGUGCUUAACACAUGCAAGUCGAACGGAAAGGCCCUGCUUUUGUGGGGUGCUCGAGUGGCGAACGGGUGAGUAACACGUGAGUAACCUGCCCUUGACUUUGGGAUAACUUCAGGAAACUGGGGCUAAUACCGGAUAGGAGCUCCUGCUGCAUGGUGGGGGUUGGAAAGUUUCGGCGGUUGGGGAUGGACUCGCGGCUUAUCAGCUUGUUGGUGGGGUAGGGGCUUGCCAAGGCUGUGACGGGUAGCCGGCCUGAGAGGGUGACCGGCCACAUUGGGACUGAGAUACGGCCCAGACUCCUACGGGAGGCAGCAGUGGGGAAUAUUGCACAAUGGGCGGAAGCCUGAUGCAGCAACGCCGCGUGCGGGAUGACGGCCUUCGGGUUGUAAACCGCUUUCGCCUGUGACGAAGCGUGAGUGACGGUAAUGGGUAAAGAAGCACCGGCUAACUACGUG
RNAcentral lists this ribosomal RNA (468 nucleotides) under uncultured bacterium. Its description in RNAcentral is "partial 16S ribosomal RNA". It matches the Rfam family "Bacterial small subunit ribosomal RNA", at positions 28 to 507 of the family's 1533-position model. The record is from RNAcentral.